Molecule: transfer RNA, 72 nt
Filed under: Ictidomys tridecemlineatus (thirteen-lined ground squirrel)
Lineage: Eukaryota; Metazoa; Chordata; Mammalia; Rodentia; Sciuridae
Description: Spermophilus tridecemlineatus (thirteen-lined ground squirrel) tRNA
Rfam family: tRNA
About the family: Transfer RNA (tRNA) molecules are approximately 80 nucleotides in length.
Source: Rfam by way of RNAcentral
GGGGGUGUAGCUCAAUGGUAGAGUACUUGCCUAGGAUGCAUGAGGUCCUGGGUUUAAUUCCCAGUACCAACA